This is a long non-coding RNA of Maniola jurtina (meadow brown), 228 nucleotides long. RefSeq lists it as uncharacterized. Lineage: Eukaryota; Metazoa; Arthropoda; Insecta; Lepidoptera; Nymphalidae. The record is from RefSeq and is a predicted model, not a curated record. The transcript is spliced from 3 exons.
GAUUACUUAGAUCCUCGUUAACAGAACACAAGAUGGAGUUAGUACUGUGUCUUAGUCUUUCCCAGAAGGAAGCCGUCCUCGCUCUGAGUAUGGCGAAGAAGUCAGGGACCCUCGCCGCAGCAAACAUGGCUUUAGCACUGCAGAAACGCGGAUGCUUCAUUAGGAUGCGGAAGGCGUUGUUAUAUUGUAUCCUAAGCGCAUUAUAGCUGCGCUUAAUCCUAUUGUUAU